AAGCGGUCAAAAAAUAUAUCAUCUCCUAACAAUGACAAUCAGUUUUCUGAAUUAGGGCUCAGAGGCAAAAACAAUAAGUUCGAGGAUUAUUGCACCCUACCUGUGCUCCUGCAAAAUUUGUCGUAUUUACACAUCGAAGAUUUUUUUGCAUCAUUGAGUAUUUGUCUGGCGCGCCAUUGUUCCUACGCUUUAGCUUUCUCUUUCUGCGAUUAAUUUUAAAAAAAAAAUAAAGCUCGUGAAUUUGUUGAUAAAUGAUUCACAUAUCUAAUCCAGCUUCAAGUACCUGACAGAUGAAGAACGAAUGAGAUUGAAGUAUCUCAUCUCAACGCAGAAAUUAGGGUUCGUCCGACAAGUUGUGUCGAAGAAGAAGAGAGCAAAGAGUUUGCUUUGAAAAAAAAAUACUACUAUGAUUGGUUUUAGCGGUUUCAAUGCGGUCGGGUCGGGUUCGGGUUCGAUGUCAAUGCGCUCGUGCCAUCGUUGCUCACCGGUGACGCCUCUGCCGCCUGGAUUUGUGUUGCCGGCUGAGUUCGCGCCGCCGUCUAGUAUCUUUUCCUCUUUCAGGUUCCAUCAGAAAGUGAUGGUAGAACUUAGGAGGAGAUGCAGACUGCAUAAAUGGAGGAAAGCGGGAGAAGGGUUGCGAUAGAGAGAGUGUGUGAUUUGGGGCUGGAUUUGGGGCUGGGGUGACGGCGGGUGGAUAGAUAGGUAGGGUUUUAUCUUUUAAUUUGAGAGAAAAUCCAUAAUAGUAUGAGGAUA
This 753-nucleotide long non-coding RNA is filed under the name Salvia miltiorrhiza (redroot sage). RNAcentral describes it as "long non-coding RNA (SMIL_LNC009168)". The record is from RNAcentral. Lineage: Eukaryota; Viridiplantae; Streptophyta; Magnoliopsida; Lamiales; Lamiaceae.